CCUACGGGAGGCAGCAGUGGGGAAUAUUGCACAAUGGGCGCAAGCCUGAUGCAGCGACGCCGCGUGAGUGAAGAAGGUCUUCGGUAUGUAAACCUCUGUCAGCAGGGAAGAAAAGUACGGUACCUGACCAGGAAGGCCUGGAUAAGUACGUGACAGCACCCGCGGGAAUACUCAGGGCGCGAGCGUUCACCGGAUGUACUGGGUGUAAAGGGAGCGUAGACGGCAGGGCAAGUCAGGAGUGAAAGGCGGGGGUCCAACCCCCGGACUGCUCUGGAAACUGGCAGGCUGGAGUGCAGGAGAGGUAAGUGGAAUUCCUGGUGUAGCGGUGAAAUGCGUAGAUAUUAGGAGGAACACCAGUGGCGAAGGCGGCUUACUGGACUGUAACUGACGUUGAGGCUCGAAAGCGUGGGGAGCAAACAGGAUUAGAUACCCCUGUAGUC
This 440-nucleotide ribosomal RNA is filed under the name uncultured bacterium. RNAcentral describes it as "partial 16S ribosomal RNA". It matches the Rfam family "Bacterial small subunit ribosomal RNA", at positions 338 to 795 of the family's 1533-position model. The record is from RNAcentral.